Molecule: long non-coding RNA, 2917 nt
Organism: Gadus macrocephalus (Pacific cod)
Lineage: Eukaryota; Metazoa; Chordata; Actinopteri; Gadiformes; Gadidae
Exons: 2
Source: RefSeq, a predicted model, not a curated record
CGUCGGCGUCAGAGUCGCGAGCGGUGUUCCCGGGCAAACUAGAGGGAAAGUUGCCCAGCAGAGAUGGGGACGCCCGCGGCACCGACACGGUGAAAGGUGUUACGAAAAAAGAGAAAGUUGACGGACGGAGGUGUGAUCGAAGGGCGUCCGGCGGCCAGGGGGGAACAUGGGCGCCGGCCAUCACCUCCACCGCACCGCUGGAGACCGAGGGGAGGGAACACACAGAGGGCGCAACAAAGAAUGGGAGAAUAACACGCAUUGAAUCCAAAGACAAAGUUGCACGAGUUAUUUGCGACCACAGCACUGUUAAACCAGCAAAGGAAAACAACAACAUGAAUGCCUUAAAAUAAUUGAAUAUGCAGAUGAAGCUAAAACACAGAAGGGGAAACCAUUUUUCUCAAUGUAACGUAAGCUCUUAAUGCCAAGAAAAUAAUAAAUAAUAUGUAAGUUACUGCAUCGUCAUGGUCAAACACAAGAAAAUAACAAAUCCAAAUAAAAUGAAAUUAAAACAAUUACAUUUAUAAUCUAUUCAUAACCUGUCCCAAGGCAGCUCCCACAGCUUGUACCCCCACGCCCCCCCACCUUCCUCCUCCCCCUCCUCCUCUUCAUCUUCCACUCCCCACCGUUGGGUGGCAACACUUGAACACUUGGUAGGACACAUGGUGAGACAGCUGUUGCAGGGCAACAUGGGCAUCUGUGAUGCUCUUGGAGAAGGGGGGUGGGGGGGGAGUUAGGGGGUGAGGGGGAGUGGGUUGUGUGGCGAAGAGGGCAUUACUGGGUCAGGACGAAGAAGGCUGUGUGUGUGUGUGUGUGUGUGUGUGUGUGUGUGUGUGUGUGUGUGUGUGUGUGUGUGUGUGUGUGUGUGUGUGUGUGUGUGUGUGUGUGUGUGUGUGUGUGUGUGUGUGUGUGUGUGUGUGUGGGUGUAUGUGUGUGUAUUUUUCGGUUGUUUCUGCUCUGGGUGUGUAUGUGUGUGUGUGUGUGUGUGUGUGUGUGUGUGUGUGUGUGUGUGUGUGUGUGUGUGUGUGUGUGUGUGUGUGUGUGUGUGUGUGCCUGCAUGCAUUGGAUUCCAUUUGGUCCAUGGUGUUUCCGAUGUGUGUGUGUGUGUGUCUGUGUGUGUGUGUGUGUGUGUGUGUGUGUGUGUCUGUUUGUGUAUGUGUUUGUGUCUAUGUGUCAGUGUGUGUGUUUGUGUGUGCGUGCUUUUGUGUGUUUGUGUGUCCGCCUGUUUAUGUCUUGCAAAUGCUGAACAUGUUUGAGAGGUAUGCGCUAUGUAAAUAAGGGACAGGAUGGUGCAGUGAGAGUUGUGAGGGAGGCAGAAAGAGAAAGGCAGCUCGCGCGAGGAAGACACAAGACAGAUAUAGGAAGAGAAGACAGCUAGUGGGAGGAGGACAGAGAAAGGGACAGAUAAGAGUGAGAGCAGGCAGAGAACAACAUCUUUUGUGUGCCAUGCCAGUUUGUUGUUGAAAAGUAGCACCUGUCCUUUAAGCCCUGACAGAGGAGACAUUAGCAUGAAAAUGACACGGUGGUAGGAUGCUAUCUCUCGCUCCCUCCCUUAUUCCUCUCUCGCUCUUUCGGAUGCACAUGCAUGAACAGAUUCACAGACACACACACAUGACAAGCACAUGUGACAACGCGCUUGCCCACCGACAACACAAAAACACAGCCCCCCCUCCCCCCAAUCCUCAGCGCCACCACCUUUCUCUUCAGAGGGAACGGGCGUUUUCCCAGGGUUAUUAUCCCAUGCCAGGUGCCCCCCCCCCCACACACACACACACCCACCCACCACUAACACACUCUCCUCCCCAUUCCCAGUUGCUAACACACACCCUUGCCAUUUCCCUCUCCCCCCAGAGCUCCAGCGAAGCCCCACCUCGUGGUGCCAAUGUGGGCAGCCUCAAACUUGGCAUAACCUGGGCCUUCUGGUGCCCCAGAUAGCUGUGUGUGUGUCUGUGUGUAUGUGCUUGUGUGAGUGUGUGUGUGUGUGGUGUGAGUGUGUGUUUGUGUGUGUGUGCGUGUGUGUGUGUGUGUGUGUGUGUGUGUGUGUGUGUGUGUGUGUAUGAGUGUGUGUUUGUGUGUGUGUGUGUGUGUGUGUGUGUGUGUGUGUGUGUGUGUGUGUGUGUGUGUGUGUGUGUGUGUGUGUGUGUGUGUGUGUGUGUGUGUGUGUUACUGGCCCUAUUCAACGGUGGUCCAGCCCUUUAAACUGUGUCGGAGCUCCAGAUGCUGGGAGAGACCUGGAAAGAAACUGGUGGCACAAGCACACAAACACACACACAAACACACACACAAACACACACACACACACACACACACACACACACACACACACACACACACACACACACACACACACACACACACACACACACACACACACACACACACACACACACAAGUUUGCACGUAUUGCAUCAUAUAGGCAAUCAUAAUAAUCCCAGAUAUUCUUUCCUAUGAAUCUCAAUUCCUAACUCCUCAGUGAUUGGCUGCAUGGCUGCUGCUACAGUCAAAUCCAAAAGCCUUGUUUGUGGUCCACCUCCCCACAACAUUAAAUGCAUCCGUCUUCAGCGCUGCAGGCUGUUCCCACAGGAGAGUGUAUGAGACCCAUACUCCUGGCAGCAGGCUGAUGGCAGCGGGCGAGACAGAGCUAGAGAGGUGCCAGGCCAGCACCUUUUGACAGGGGACUCACAUGACAAAGAGUGGGAUGGAGAGAGAGAGAGAGGGGCCCCAGAGACCUGACAUACACACACACCAACACCACAUGUACACACACACUCACACACACGCACGCACGCACGCACACACACACACACACACACACACACACACACACACACACACACACACACACACACACACACACACACACACACACACACACACACACACACACACACACACACACACACACACACACUCACACACA